GACGAACGCUGGCGGCGUGCUUAACACAUGCAAGUCGAACGGAAAGGCCCUGCUUUUGUGGGGUGCUCGAGUGGCGAACGGGUGAGUAACACGUGAGUAACCUGCCCUUGACUUUGGGAUAACUUCAGGAAACUGGGGCUAAUACCGGAUAGGAGCUCCUGCUGCAUGGUGGGGGUUGGAAAGUUUCGGCGGUUGGGGAUGGACUCGCGGCUUAUCAGCUUGUUGGUGGGGUAGUGGCUUACCAAGGCUUUGACGGGUAGCCGGCCUGAGAGGGUGACCGGCUACAUUGGGACUGAGAUACGGCCCAGACUCCUACGGGAGGCAGCAGUGGGGAAUAUUGCACAAUGGGCGGAAGCCUGAUGCAGCAACGCCGCGUGCGGGAUGACGGCCUUCGGGUUGUAAACCGCUUUCGCCUGUGACGAAGCGUGAGUGACGGUAAUGGGUAAAGAAGCACCGGCUAACUACGUGCCAGCAGCCGCGGUGAUACGUAGGGUGCGAGCGUUGUCCGGAUUUAUUGGGCGUAAAGGGCUCGUGGGUGGUUGAUCGCGUCGGAAGUGUAAUCUUGGGGCUUAACCCUGAGCGUGCUUUCGAUACGGGUUGACUUGAGGAAGGUAGGGGAGAAUGGAAUUCCUGGUGGAGCGGUGGAAUGCGCAGAUAUCAGGAGGAACACCAGUGGCGAAGGCGGUUCUCUGGGCCUUUCCUGACGCUGAGGAGCGAAAGCGUGGGGAGCGAACAGGCUUAGAUACCCUGGUAGUCCACGCUGUAAACGGUGGGUACUAGGUGUGGGGUCCAUUCCACGGGUUCCGUGCCGUAGCUAACGCUUUAAGUACCCCGCCUGGGGAGUACGGCCGCAAGGCUAAAACUCAAAGGAAUUGACGGGGCCCCGCACAAGCGGCGGAGCAUGCGGAUUAAUUCGAUGCAACGCGUAGAACCUUACCUGGGUUUGACAUGGAUCGGGAGUGCUCAGAGAUGGGUGUGCCUCUUUUGGGGUCGGUUCACAGGUGGUGCAUGGCUGUCGUCAGCUCGUGUCGUGAGAUGUUGGGUUAAGUCCCGCAACGAGCGCAACCCUUGUUCACUGUUGCCAGCACGUUAUGGUGGGGACUCAGUGGAGACCGCCGGGGUCAACUCGGAGGAAGGUGGGGAUGACGUCAAGUCAUCAUGCCCCUUAUGUCCAGGGCUUCACGCAUGCUACAAUGGCUGGUACAGAGAGUGGCGAGCCUGUGAGGGUGAGCGAAUCUCGGAAAGCCGGUCUCAGUUCGGAUUGGGGUCUGCAACUCGACCUCAUGAAGUCGGAGUCGCUAGUAAUCGCAGAUCAGCAACGCUGCGGUGAAUACGUUCCCGGG
Molecule: ribosomal RNA, 1343 nt
Filed under: uncultured bacterium
Lineage: Bacteria
Description: 16S ribosomal RNA
Rfam family: Bacterial small subunit ribosomal RNA
Source: RNAcentral